Long non-coding RNA from Myotis brandtii (Brandt's bat), 289 nucleotides. RefSeq lists it as uncharacterized. Lineage: Eukaryota; Metazoa; Chordata; Mammalia; Chiroptera; Vespertilionidae. The transcript is spliced from 3 exons. The record is from RefSeq and is a predicted model, not a curated record.
AAUGUGCAAAAUCAAUGCCAAAAGCAAUUCAAAUGUGCAAAAACAAUGCCAAAAACAAUUCAAGUGUGCAAAAAUAAUACCGAAAGCAACUCAAGUGUGCAAAAAUAAUACUGAAAGCAACUCAAGUGUGCAGAAAUAAUAUUUUAGCCCAGAGAAACCAAUUUUGGACUUCCAAACUCCAGAACUAUAAAACAUAAUUGGUUUUAAACCACUAAAUGGUAAUCUAUUAUAGAAGCAACUGGAAACUAAUACACCCAAUAAAAUAUAAAUUCCAUGAGAGUUGGGUCAU